AAUAGAUACCCGGGUAGUCCACGCCGUAAACGAUGAGUGCUAGGUGUCAGGGGUUUCGAUCCCCUUGGUGCCGAAGUCAACACAGUAAGCACUCCGCCUGGGGAGUACGGUCGCAAGACUGAAACUCAAAGGAAUUGACGGGGACCCGCACAAGCAGUGGAGUAUGUGGUUUAAUUCGAAGCAACGCGAAGAACCUUACCAGGUCUUGACAUCCCUCUGAAUACCCUGGAGACAGGGUGGGCCUACGGGACAGAGGAGACAGGUGGUGCAUGGUUGUCGUCAGCUCGUGUCGUGAGAUGUUGGGUUAAGUCCCGCAACGAGCGCAACCCUUGAUUUUAGUUGCCAGCACGUAAAGGUGGGCACUCUAGAAUGACUGCCGGUGACAAACCGGAGGAAGGCGGGGAUGGCGUCAAAUCAUCAUGCCCCUUAUGACCUGGGCUACACACGUACUACAAUGGCCGGUACAACGGGAGGCGAAGGGGCGACCCGGAGCGAAUCCUUAAAAGCCGGUCUCAGUUCGGAUUGCAGGCUGCAACUCGCCUGC
Molecule: ribosomal RNA, 544 nt
Filed under: uncultured bacterium
Lineage: Bacteria
Description: bacterial SSU rRNA
Rfam family: Bacterial small subunit ribosomal RNA
Source: RNAcentral